AUGGAUAGGCAAGGCAUUUCAUCUCCGGUCUUCGACAACAACGACGACGCGAACAACUACAUCACCAAAGCGUCCAUCUUCGGUCUACAACAACAAAUGCAAGGCGCACAUUCUACCUUGCGAGAGUGCAUCAAGAACCUCUCCAUCGACAUUCGUCACUCCAAAGCAAGGAAACAUCGACAAGAAGCUUUCCGCACAAAAAGAGGAGCAAGAUGCAAGAAUGGAGGAGAUUCAUGCCUUAAUCAAGUCUACUUCCCCUUCGUCAUCUUCAAGGCGACGACGAGCAAGUCGAUCAUCUUUGGAGCGCCCAAGCAAUGCAAGCGCAAUUCGUCAACGUCAACAUCUACAUGGCGACCACCAUCACGUUCUUGA
Molecule: ribosomal RNA, 372 nt
Filed under: Triticum aestivum (bread wheat)
Lineage: Eukaryota; Viridiplantae; Streptophyta; Magnoliopsida; Poales; Poaceae
Description: partial small subunit ribosomal RNA
Source: RNAcentral